RNAcentral lists this ribosomal RNA (679 nucleotides) under uncultured Burkholderiales bacterium. RNAcentral's name for it is "bacterial SSU rRNA". It matches the Rfam family "Bacterial small subunit ribosomal RNA", at positions 10 to 682 of the family's 1533-position model. Lineage: Bacteria; Pseudomonadati; Pseudomonadota; Betaproteobacteria; Burkholderiales. The record is from RNAcentral.
AGUUUGAUCAUGGCUCAGAUUGAACGCUAGCGGAAUGCUUUACACAUGCAAGUCGGACGGCAGCGUGUCCUUCGGGAUGACGGCGAGUGGCGAACGGGUGAGUAAUGUAUCGGAACGUGUCUGGUAGUGGGGGAUAACUACGCGAAAGCGUGGCUAAUACUGCAUACGACCUUUGGGUGAAAGCAGGGGACCUUUCGGGGCCUUGCGCUAUUGGGGUGGCCGAUAUCGGAUUAGCUAGUUGGUGGGGUAAUGGCCUACCAAGGCAUCGAUCCGUAGCUGGUUUGAGAGGACGACCAGCCACACUGGGACUGAGACACGGCCCAGACUCCUACGGGAGGCAGCAGUGGGGAAUUUUGGACAAUGGGGGCAACCCUGAUCCAGCCAUUUCGCGUGUGCGAUGAAGGCCUUCGGGUUGUAAAGCACUUUUGGCGGGGAAGAAAUACGCUGGGUUAAUACCCUGGUGGGAUGACGGUACCCGCAGAAUAAGCACCGGCUAACUACGUGCCAGCAGCCGCGGUAAUACGUAGGGUGCGAGCGUUAAUCGGAAUUACUGGGCGUAAAGGGUGCGCAGGCGGUUCGGCAAGAGAGAUGUGAAAUCCCGGGGCUUAACCUCGGAACUGCAUUUUUAACUGCCGGGCUAGAGUGUGUCAGAGGGGGGUGGAAUUCCGCGUGUAGCAGU